UUUCUCAUCAAUCUGAGCCCGUUUCUCCCUCCCUGGGUCAUUUAAUGAUCCAUUGCCUCUUGAAUUCGGUCUUAAAAAUUGCUUUUCCGGCAGAGGUUGUCUGGGAAUGGUGAUGGUGAGCUGAUCGCUGACAAGUUCUCACUACUAUGCCGCUGGAGAAAGGUAUCUGAAAGACACUGGGUUGUAUCUGGAACAAGCUGUGUGAAGUUUCACCCAGGUGUUUGGCAGAGAUGGGCAGAUGAAGAUUGCAGCUGCUUUGUACGCUGGUACGUGCUGAACAUAAGUCCACAGAAGUGAAGAACAAACUCUAGAAAACUGAUCUGGGAAGAACAAGUCCAGGAAGAACUGAAGGCAAUAGAUUUCUUAUCUUGACAAAAUGCUUUGAGAGGUUUUGUAUUUUGAUAAAAUGCUUAUGGGGGGGGAGAGAAACAAGCAUGCAUGGACAGCAUAUGAAAAGCACACAAGUCUGCUUGGACAUGGGCACAUAAGGAGGGUCUUCUUGGACCUGUGGCAUGUGCCAGAUGAAGCUUUCCGCGGUGUGAAUACACGCCUCAGUGUGGGAGUGUUUGGUUUAUGGUCACUUUCAUGUUGCUGCUUUGUACCACUUUGAAGCUAGAUUUUUCACAACAUUGUUAAUUUGGGGACAUUUAACCACAGUGAACCUGGCAUCUUCUUUUCACCUGUUGCAACCUUUGUGGAUGGGUUCCCCCCCCCCCAUUUUCAGAGCUUUAGCUGGCCAUCCUUUCCCCCAAGAGAUUAAGUGUCCUUUUUUUUUUUUUUGAGCUUUCCUCUUCCUGAAUCCAUUGAUUGGAUUUUUUUUCUCUCCUUCCCCUGUACAAUAGUCGUCCAAGCCAUUUCUUCACUCUUGAGAAGAGCAACUGCCCGCAAAAAUCCUAUCAUUUUAUCCUCACAAUUUGCAGAGGUUGUUGGUUCGUGGAGGAAAACCUAGAAGAACUUUGUGGGAUUCUUUUGAUUUCUUACUUUUUUGUGUCAUCUUUGCAAUCAGAGUAAUGUCUUAAAAUUUUUGACAAACCACCAGGCAAAUUUUGGAUCUCAGAAUAUCUACUGACAAACAUAGAGGAAGGUUGUUGCUCUUUGUUUUAUUUUAUUAUGAGAACGAGUGGGAUUUUUGGUUCUCCAUGAUCAUGGACAGCUUAGGAACAAUAUACUCCUUGGAGGAAAAAAAUAUAUAUCUGUAUUCUCUCCUACUGCUCAACUGGAAAGAAAGACAGUGUAAUUCCUGUUUUGUGGGGAGGGGGUUAAUUUAUUAUUUCUAUUUAUUAUUUCUAGGUUGCCAGUAGUUUUAAAAGUGUUUUGCAGGGGAUGGAAGGGGUUAAACAGGCUGGUGAUAUAGAAGUGUCCUGUCACAGACUGGUGUGCAGAAUAUAUAUGUCUUUUUCCACCUGGAAUUCAUAACCAGCAAAGGAACUUACCUUGUAUAAAAUGUGUAAAGAGAAAGUAAUGUUACAAUUUGAGAGUUCCCAGACAUUGAAAACAUCUGCAGCCGUUACAUCCAGCAGUUUGGCUACUAUUUUCAGCAGAGGGAAACAAAAUGAGGGACUGGAUGCUAUUGCAAACUAAAUUUAAUAGAAAAAUAAGGCCUUUGUUCCUCUCUUAUCCCUGGAUUCAGGGGUUGGCUCAGGUAUGUCUGCAGAGAUAGUCAAGAUGGGUGCUGCAGCCAUGUGUUCAAAGCACUCUCAUUUUUUAAUACACAUUGAUGCAUGUUUAAAAGGGGGGCUUUGAUGGCAUGAUUGCAGUUGACAUUAUUUUUUGAUUUCCCACCAUGUGGACAGCCCUGGCUUGGCUUCUGGCAGUUUUCUCGGUGUCAUUUAACUCAUUUAGCUAAUUAUGAGGGCUAACAUAUUUUAACACAAGAAACAUACAAUUCUGCACAUCUUUCUGCCUCAAAUGGAUUCUGAAUCCAUUUACUUGAAAGGUAUCAAGUAAAAGGUAAAGCCAGCUCAAAUUUGUUACCUGCCCAGAAUCACAUCUGCAACAUGGGUGGCCAUAUAAAUCAACCUAAAACAAACAAACAAAUGGAGAAAUAAAAUAUCUCUAAUAUUGUUGACUGAAAUAGCCAUCAAGGAGAAUAGGUGUAUAUUGAAUUGAUAAUCUGAUGCUCCGUUGCCCGCCCCUAAUUAUUUUUACCUAGCAUUGAGGUACAUAGUAAAAAUGAUCACAUGUCAAUGAAACCUGAAAUACAUCUGGUUGCACAGCAGGGCAAUUGGAUGUGGAAUACAUUAUUUGUUUGUUUAUUUGAUUGAUUGAUUUGCCAUUGUUGUUCCUUCAACCAAAAAUAACACCCCAGGCAGCACAUAAUAUAAUACAAUUACAAUUUGAACUAUAAAACUGGCCAAUUAAACCCAUAACAAAUUAGAGCAUAUCAGUCAGAAAUAAAUAACAAGUCCCCAUCAUAAUCUGCCAUAAUGCAUGGAGAACUCAUCAAAUUUGAUCAGCUCAGAUCAUAGCUGGCACACCAGUGCAAAAGCCCUCUUAACUAUCUCUGAACCUACUAACAGUGGAAAAUGUAAGAACAUUCCCAAACUGCAAAGGACUGCAUAUUUGUUAGGAUGUGCCUCAGUGGAGGAAAUAAAAUUCUGAUCUGUUUCUAAAAUUGAAAUCCUCCAGUACUAUAAAUUUAGAGUAAUACACUGCCAAACCUGAACAUAUUCCUGCUAGCAUUAAGGGGCCCUGGUGGCACAGCGGUUAGAAUGCAGUAUUGCAGGCUAACUCUGCCCACAGGCUUGAGUUUGAUCCUUAUGGGGCUCAAGGUUGACUCAGCCUUCCAUCCUUCCGAGGUCAGUAAAAUGAGGAUCCAGAUUGUUGGGAGCAAUAUGCUGACAUUGUAACCUGAUCAGAGAGUGCUGUAAAACAUUACGGAAUGGUAUAUAAUUCUGCUAUUGCUAUUACUAUUCAUAGAAAUCUUGUAGAGAGCAGAGGGAAUUAAUUUGAAGGACAGAAGGGAGACCCACUCCCAAAGAAAUUGUCAGUAAAAAGGGGUCUGAGUCCAGGCCAAGAAUGUUGCAUGAGUAAACAUCACAUAAAAAUAAAGGCAAGGAGAUAGGAAAGAUAUUGCAAGAUUCUGUUAGUAUAGCUUUAAAAUUCUGAUCCAUAUGGCAUUGGUUUUCUAGGCUGGUCUACCUUGAAGGGUUGAUAAUAGUCCCCUUGCAGUAUUCCUAAAUUGUUCAGGGAAUCUAAAUGUUCAAGUCACAAUGGUAAAUUGGUUAGAUUGAGCAUCUUGGUCACCACAAUGCAUUUCUGUGGCCACUCAUUCUUUCUGCUCUCCAGUCCUACUUGCUUCAUCACCAAGAAGGUAAGCAGACAGAACUAAUGGAGGGGAUUAAAUUCUUCCUUUUUAUCUGAUAGUUCUUCAUGGUACAUGAUAAUAAAUGCUUUAAUAAGACCUCACCUGAUACAUUGAAGAGUAAGGAUUUAGACCAUUGCCAUGGUUACUUUGACUUCCUUGAGUAGCCUGCAACCUGAAAGAUCCUUCAAGAGAAGAUUUUCCAUUGCAGCUUAAAACCAAUUAAACUCUCAGUUUAAACUAGCUUAAACAAAAGUGAUUAAAUUAGUGUCUGAAUACUAAUUCUGCAUAUCAUUGCUUAUCCUAAAAAGAAAAAAUAGGAUGGAGGUGUAAAUAUGCAUUUUUGUUUUAAAAUUAAAAGUGUGUGUGUGUGUGUGUGUGUGUGUGUGUGUAUGUGUAUAUGUAUGUGUAUAUGUAUGUAUAUAUAUAUAUGCAUGACUUUCCCAGAAGGAUUAAAAUAGAAAGAAGUAUACUUCCAGGAGCCCAUCCCUUUAGUCUGGUCAGUAGAAAAAGCUGUUGACCUUUGAAAAUGUAUUUUCUACCCAACCAUUACAAAUCCCAAAGCUAUAUCUGCUUUUGCAUUUGGCUAUGUCAAUGGCUGGUGAUGGAGUGGAGUGAUUUGAAGACAAAACAGGAUAUCAAUCAAAUGAAGACAUACACGAAUCAAUCCAUUUUUAGACAAAAUAUUUUGCAGUUUUUUAUUAGCUUAUUUCCUGAUUUUAGAAAAUUUAAAUGAUUUAGUCACCUGAAAUAAUCAAUUGUGUCUUAAAAGCACUUUUUUCCGUACUAUCAAUAUUAAAACAUGAGGCUUUACAGAUAAUUUUAUCUGAAUGGAAACAAUUUAACUUGGAUUUACAGCAGAACUUUAUUUUUGUGGAUGACAAGGUUGCUGCUGACACACAACUCAAAAGAAUUUUGCUUUAUAGGCAUCUAGAAAAUAGUUUCUGUCUACUCAUGAAAAUCGUAAAUGGCUGGUUUCACACAUUAACUAUGAUUUAGCUGACCAUUGUUGAAUAAGCCACAAAUGGUUGGAUCUAUGGAACACACAAUGCCAAAACCAAAGAAGACACAGUAUAGCUUUGCUCAGUGUGUGAAUGAUGUCAAUGUAUAUGUGCCAUAACUGUCAGUAGUAAUAAAAAAAAAAUACUUUGAA
This is a long non-coding RNA of Crotalus tigris (Tiger rattlesnake), 4457 nucleotides long. RefSeq lists it as uncharacterized. The record is from RefSeq and is a predicted model, not a curated record. Lineage: Eukaryota; Metazoa; Chordata; Lepidosauria; Squamata; Viperidae. The transcript has 2 exons.